RNAcentral lists this small RNA (763 nucleotides) under Pan troglodytes (chimpanzee). RNAcentral's name for it is "processed transcript". Lineage: Eukaryota; Metazoa; Chordata; Mammalia; Primates; Hominidae. The record is from RNAcentral.
CCGGGCACUGUUGCUGCUGCGGGAGGGAGAAGGCUGAGCAGACCAUCUGGAACCGUUUACAUCAGCUUAAAGCCUUGAAGACAAGGCGGCCCCGCUCCCGGGUUCCUCUGAGGAUUGGAAUUCUAGGUCGAUCAUGCGAGGCUGUGACAACAUGUGUAGCUACUGCAUUGUUCCUUUCACCCGGGGCAGGGAGAGGAGUCGGCCUAUUGCCUCCAUUCUAGAGGAAGUGAAGAAGCUUUCUGAGCAGGGGCUGAAAGAAGUGACACUUCUUGGUCAGAAUGUUAAUAGUUUUUGGGACAAUUCAGAGGUCCAGUUCAACAAUGCAGUACCUACCAAUCUCAGUCGUGGCUUUACCACCAACUAUAAAACCAAGCAAGGAGGACUUCGUUUUGCUCAUCUUCUGGAUCAGGUCUCCAGAGUAGAUCCUGAAAUGAGGAUCCGCUUUACCUCUCCCCACCCCAAGGAUUUUCCCGAUGAGGUUCUGCAGCUGAUUCAUGAGAGAGAUAACAUCUGUAAACAGAUCCACCUGCCAGCCCAGAGUGGAAGCAGCCGUGUGUUGGAGGCCAUGCGGAGGGGAUAUUCAAGAGAAGCUUAUGUGGAGUUAGUUCACCAUAUUAGAGAAUCUAUUCCAGGUGUGAGCCUUAGCAGCGAUUUCAUUGCUGGCUUUUGUGGUGAGACGGAGGAAGAUCACGUCCAGACAGUCUCUUUGCUCCGGGAAGUUCAGUACAACAUGGGCUUCCUCUUUGCCUACAGCAUGAGACAG